AACCUUAUGGACCUGCGGGCGUAUACCUGCGGAGGGAUCAUUAACCUUUCAAAUCAGGGUGCGGCGCGGCCCCCGAGGAGCGGAAACAAUCCUUGGGAGGUAUGCGGGGGCUUCGAGCCCCCCAUUUAUGCACGCACGACUGCCAUCCUUACUUUACGAGCACCUUCUGUUCUCCCUCGGCGGGGCAACCUGCCGUUGGAACCGAAUAAACUCUUUUUGCAUCUAGCAUUACCUGUUCCG
This 240-nucleotide unclassified non-coding RNA is filed under the name soil metagenome. RNAcentral describes it as "partial contains 5.8S ribosomal RNA, internal transcribed spacer 2, and large subunit ribosomal RNA". The record is from RNAcentral.